UCAGGCCUAACACAUGCAAGUCGAGCGGCAGCGACAUGAUAGAAGCUUCGGUGGACAUCAUGGGCGGCGAGCGGCGGACGGGUGAGUAAUGCCUGGGAAUAUGCCCUGGUGUGGGGGAUAACUAUUGGAAACGAUAGCUAAUACCGCAUAAUCUCUUCGGAGCAAAGAGGGGGACCUUCGGGCCUCUCGCGUCAGGAUUAGCCCAGGUGGGAUUAGCUAGUUGGUGGGGUAACGGCUCACCAAGGCGACGAUCCCUAGCUGGUCUGAGAGGAUGAUCAGCCACACUGGAACUGAGACACGGUCCAGACUCCUACGGGAGGCAGCAGUGGGGAAUAUUGCACAAUGGGGGAAACCCUGAUGCAGCCAUGCCGCGUGUAUGAAGAAGGCCUUCGGGUUGUAAAGUACUUUCAGCAGUGAGGAAGGGGUGUACGUUAAUAGCGUAUAUCUUUGACGUUAGCUGCAGAAGAAGCACCGGCUAACUCCGUGCCAGCAGCCGCGGUAAUACGGAGGGUGCGAGCGUUAAUCGGAAUUACUGGGCGUAAAGCGCAUGCAGGCGGUCUGUUAAGCAAGAUGUGAAAGCCCGGGGCUUAACCUCGGAACAGCAUUUUGAACUGGCAGGCUAGAGUCUUGUAGAGGGGGGUAGAAUUCCAGGUGUAGCGGUGAAAUGCGGAGAGAUCUGAAGGAAUACCGGUGGCGAACG
This 700-nucleotide ribosomal RNA is filed under the name uncultured bacterium. RNAcentral's name for it is "bacterial SSU rRNA". It matches the Rfam family "Bacterial small subunit ribosomal RNA", at positions 42 to 721 of the family's 1533-position model. The record is from RNAcentral.